UUAGUCUCCGAGGAGGUUAGGUACACCCCUUGGUCAUAGAGCGCUAGCCCCCCUCCUGGGAGUAUGCCCUGUUCAAGUGCCGAGCGCACUGCACAUACGGCAUCGUCAACCCUGUCGAAUAGCUCUUUCUGCUCUAGG
This 138-nucleotide ribosomal RNA is filed under the name uncultured eukaryote. Its description in RNAcentral is "partial small subunit ribosomal RNA". The record is from RNAcentral.